CUCUUAGAAGAACAAACAACCUUCUGCAGAUGCAGAAGAAAGGCAGAGAAAUAUUAGAUGACUUACCCACAGUCUGUAGCAGGUGCUCGUGGAAAUUGAGACUUGCACCAGCCGUGUCUGUUGCCAGCAGGACUCAGCAGUGUCCCCAGCUCUGAAGUCUAUGACAAGAAAAACAAAUCAAGCUCCUGACCUUGGCAUCAUCGCUCACUUAGGAAAUUUUUGUACCUGGAAGAAAAUCUGCUGAUAUUCCAUGCAAGUAAUAAAUUAUCCGACAUCAUCAGUCAAUACCAUAAUGUAUGUCAAUGCAAGUCAAUGGCAUAAGUAAAUGUAGCUGUAAAACAGAUAUCUCAAGAUAAAACUUCAGUACCUAAGAGCUUCACGAUUGCUUCUGUAAGAGGUAAAAAAACAGAUUAUUUUGGUCUUACCAUAGCUUUCUUUCUGGUACAAAAUAAGCAACUCUCCCAUGAUCUGAGCAGGAUAGUAACCAGUCCUGAACUGUUGCUUCAGGGACUUGAUGAGGAUAAUUCAAUUAUUUUUUUUUUCCCUCCAGAUUAUUUCCAAGUUGUUUGGUUUUCUUUUUUUUUUUUUUUUUUUUUUCCUUUAACCUUGGGUGAAACAUUAGGGGAGUUCUACAAACUCCUAGUCUGCAGGCAAUCUGUCAAUAUUGAGGUCAGGUGAGUUACCACACAAUGGACAGUUCACAUAUUUUCACCACAUCCACAACAGUUUUUUCUUAAAAGCAAACACCAAAGAGCUCUGCUUGACAAAUAUAUCCAUUUCAAACUAACAUCUGCAACAUCUAUUAGAGUUUGUUAAUACCUUGAUACCAUUUCCAUUGUAUCUCAAUGACCAUUGUCCUCUUGGAUCUCAAUGACAUUGACUAACAAGGCAGUUUGUAAUUUGAUGGUGUAAUUUAAUUCCUGUCCCUCUGUAAACACCUGGAUUUGCAAAUCUCCACUCUAGAUGGAGAGCUCUUUGCCACACAUCACUAAUCAUGCCACGUGCUUCUAUAUCCGUCCCCACAUCCUCCUGCUGAGCACCUCUUCUUUGUGCCCAAUAUGAGUCAGAGACUGUUGGCAAUACAGAAAGGAUCAACACAACUGCCUAGCACUGCAUGUGGCAUUUAAUGAAAAUGAAGUCAGGUCUAAUUUGCAUGGCAGGUGUUACUUUAUUACAGUCAGAGCUGCAGAAGCUGGAUGCUACAGUGCUAGGCAAGUGUGCAAGAAUGAAAGCUGCUGACAACGAGGGUGUCUGACACAGGAAUCUUGGCACCCCCCUUGUCUGCCUGCCUACCUCCUGUGCGAGGUAAAGUGACAAAUUUGUUCAUUUAUCCAGGUGCCCCUGUCCUGGUUCUUUCUGGUAACUCCACCCUCCAAGCCAUUGGAGUAGCCAAGGAGCUUGGGGGUAGAAGGCCCACCCAGUCUCCUGCCAAGGGGUCACCACACCAAGCAACUUCCAGCUCUGGCAGACCCUCCUGGACUCAAAUCCAUAAGCUACAUCUAAAGAGCUCUAUAGCAUGAGAGAAUUGAUUUCUGUCAUGCACAAGAAGUGUCUUACAAGAGAAAUACAUGAUACAAUAUUUUUUAUGAGUCAUGUGUGUUGAAAGAACAUGUAUGCUUCUUUGAGUCAAGUCACUCAAAAAAAUUAAAAGGGCAGAGCCAUGCUCCUUCAGUUCCUAUUUCCCCAAGCCAUCUCACCAAAAUGACAAGAAUGCAAAAUGCUCAUUUUCACUAUUUUUUAUUUUGUUUAGCCUUAUUAGUAUCCCCUAUAAAUAUUAAUUUUAUUUUAAAGUUUCUGAUUCUGAUUUCAGAUUCAGUUGUCAGCAGCAAUAAUACAUUGUAAAUCUUAAGCUCGUGUCUUGAAGUAAAACAUAACACACCUUCUAACAGGCUGUGGCUCCACCCACUCACUUUCUACUUCUCAGAAUUUUUGUUGCUAUUUUAUUAUCUGCCCAACUCUUUUCUGACCACUGUUCUUCCCCUAUAAGCAUUUUGCCACUGCAUUGGUUUCCAGACUGCUUCACUGCCGAGUAUCAAAAGUGCGGUGUAUUCUGACCCUCCCUGCAGAGGCUCCUGAUGCCAUUGGUUCCCGCUACAUCCCGUCCCUCACAGCCAGCCAGUACCAACCCACGGGCAGACUGACACUUCAGACUGUCUGAACAACUUCACAGACACGCCUUGAACUUAGCCGGGCAGUUAUAGCAGUAAAGUUUUAUUUAUGGCAGUUUUCAGAGAGAGAGAUCACUUUCCCGGGUAAAAAAAAAAUCUUACGAACCACACAAUCGGAACAGCACAAUGAAAUAAAGUAAAGCCUUUACCAAAAUUCA
Cyanistes caeruleus (blue tit) is the source of this 2326-nucleotide long non-coding RNA. The record is from Ensembl. NCBI's taxonomy places the organism in Eukaryota, Metazoa, Chordata, Aves, Passeriformes, Paridae.